This 433-nucleotide ribosomal RNA is filed under the name uncultured bacterium. RNAcentral describes it as "partial 16S ribosomal RNA". It matches the Rfam family "Bacterial small subunit ribosomal RNA", at positions 29 to 507 of the family's 1533-position model. The record is from RNAcentral.
AACGAACGCUGGCGGCAUGCCUAACACAUGCAAGUCGAACGAGACCUUCGGGUCUAGUGGCGCACGGGUGCGUAACGCGUGGAAACCUGCCCUUAGGUUCGGAAUAACUCCCCGAAAGGGGUGCUAAUACCGGAUAAUGUCUUCGGACCAAAGAUUUAUCGCCUUUGGAUGGGCCCGCGUUGGAUUAGCUAGUUGGUAGGGUAAAAGCCUACCAAGGCGACGAUCCAUAGCUGGUCUGAGAGGAUGAUCAGCCACACUGGGACUGAGACACGGCCCAGACUCCUACGGGAGGCAGCAGUGGGGAAUAUUGGACAAUGGGCGAAAGCAUGAUCCAGCAAUGCCGCGUGAGUGAUGAAGGCCUUAGGGUUGUAAAGCUCUUUUACCCGGGAUGAUAAUGACAGUACCGGGAGAAUAAGCUCCGGCUAACUCCGUG